GAUGAAGAACGCAGCGAAAUGCGAUAAGUAAUGUGAAUUGCAGAAUUCAGUGAAUCAUCGAAUCUUUGAACGCACAUUGCGCCCGCCAGUAUUCUGGCGGGCAUGCCUGUCUGAGCGUCAUUUCAACCCUCAUGCCCCUAGGGCGUGGUGUUGGGGAUCGGCCAAAGCCCGCGAGGGACGGCCGGCCCCUAAAUCUAGUGGCAGACCCGUCGUGGCCUCCUCUGCGAAGUAGUGAUAUUCCGCAUCGGAGAGCGAUGAGCCCCUGCCGUUAAACCCCCAACUUUCCAAGGUUGACCUCAGAUCAGGUAGGAAUACCCGCUGAACUUAAGCAUAUCAAUAAGCGGAGGA
Molecule: unclassified non-coding RNA, 348 nt
Filed under: soil metagenome
Description: partial contains 5.8S ribosomal RNA, internal transcribed spacer 2, and large subunit ribosomal RNA
Rfam family: 5.8S ribosomal RNA (bases 1-120)
Source: RNAcentral